This is a long non-coding RNA of Podarcis raffonei (Aeolian wall lizard), 501 nucleotides long. RefSeq lists it as uncharacterized. The transcript is spliced from 3 exons. NCBI's taxonomy places the organism in Eukaryota, Metazoa, Chordata, Lepidosauria, Squamata, Lacertidae. The record is from RefSeq and is a predicted model, not a curated record.
GUGCAGGGUGCUGCUCUCCCCGGAACUACACUAAACCAGGUUUUGGACUUGUGGCUGCAAGUCUAUUUACACUUGGGAGUGAGAUAGUCCAGGGAAUAAAACUGAUCUGCACGGUUGUUGUUUUUUACACAACAGGAGGGUAGGAGGGUUUAUUGGUUUCUGAUUUUUUUCUUGUUUUUAUUAUGUAUUUUGUAUUCCUAUCUCUACUUUCCAGUGAACGCGGUAAGCAUACAUGGGUUGUAAAAGCCAAGGAGUUUCCAGUCACUGUGUACAACUUCCAGCCUGUAGACAGACACUGCGUCUGUAAAAACCCAGGGGACUGAGAACAUCAGUAUCAUGCACCUGCAGGAGAGCUCACCUGCCUGGCUCAAGCAGCAGACAGGUGCAACCCACAAGGUUAAUGUUCCUGAUUCUCUUGUGCAAUUCCAGUCACUAAAAGGAGGUUACAGGCCAUGAACUGUACACUCAGUACAUUAUUUAUCUGUCCAGUAUAUACACCAA